AUGAGUAUCGCAUUACUGCUUUAGGUUAUCCGUUAACCAAGGCUGCUAAUGAACUACAUUGUUAUCAAGUCAGAUAAAAGAUGCCCUGGGAGUUCAGGCAAAUUAUUACAACACAGCGCUUUGUUUUGAAAUAUAACUCAUCUUUACCACACACAAGCUGAGUAACCUAAUCUAAGGAGAACCAUUCCAUGUGGCCACCUGGAUUUCUAUUGAAUGAAAAGGCAAAGAGUAUUCUUUAAUGCAGCCCAGAAACCCAGGGUACUAUUAAGGGGAGAGAAAUGUGAAUGGGGCCUGCGUCACGCAGCCUUGGGUUUGUGUCUCUUCCAGUGCGUCCUCCAUGAUAAGGUACGGACAUUGCCAUAGUCACUACAAAAUAAUCCUAUAAGCAUAACAACAGUCACUUGCUUUGGUGUAGCUCACUACAGGCCAUGGCAG
This 435-nucleotide long non-coding RNA is filed under the name Bos taurus (domestic cattle). Its description in RNAcentral is "long non-coding RNA NONBTAT017262". Lineage: Eukaryota; Metazoa; Chordata; Mammalia; Artiodactyla; Bovidae. The record is from RNAcentral.